Molecule: ribosomal RNA, 440 nt
Filed under: uncultured bacterium
Lineage: Bacteria
Description: partial 16S ribosomal RNA
Rfam family: Bacterial small subunit ribosomal RNA
Source: RNAcentral
CCUACGGGUGGCUGCAGUGGGGAAUAUUGCACAAUGGGGGAAACCCUGAUGCAGCGACGCCGCGUGAGUGAAGAAGUAUCUCGGUACGUAAAGCUCUAUCAGCAGGGAAGAAAAUGACGGUACCUGACUAAGAAGCCCCGGCUAACUACGUGCCAGCAGCCGCGGUAAUACGUAGGGGGCAAGCGUUAUCCGGAUUUACUGGGUGUAAAGGGAGCGUAGACGGCAGCACAAGUCUGGAGUGAAAUCCCGGGGCUCAACCCCGGAACUGCUUUGGAAACUGUGCGGCUAGAGUGCAGGAGGGGUAGGCGGAAUGCCUGGUGUAGCGGUGAAAUGCGGAGAUAUUAGGAGGAACACCGGUGGCGAAGGCGGCUUACUGGGCUGUAACUGACGUUGAGGCUCGAAAGCGUGGGGAGCAAACAGGAUUAGAUACCCUGGUAGUC